GACGAACGCUGGCGGCGUGCUUAACACAUGCAAGUCGAACGGAAAGGCCCUGCUUUUGUGGGGUGAUCGAGUGGCGAACGGGUGAGUAACACGAGCGUAACCUGCCCUUGACUUUGGGAUAACUUCAGGAAACUGGGGCUCAUACCGGAUAGGAGCUCCUGCUGCAUGGCGGGGGUUGGAAAGAUUCGGCGGUUGGGGAGGGACUCGCGGCGUAUCAGCUUGUUGGUGGGGUAGUGGCUUACCAAGGCUUUGACGGGUAGCCGGCCUGAGAGGGUGACCGGCCACAUUGGGACUGAGAUAGGGCCCAGACUCCUACGGGAGGCAGCAGUGGGGAAUAUUGCACAAUGGGCGGAAGCCUGAUGCAACAACGCCGCGUGCGGGAUGACGGCCUUCGGGUUGUAAACCGCUUUCGCCUGUGACGAAGCGUGAGUGACGGUAAUGGGUAAAGAAGCACCGGCUAACUACGUG
RNAcentral lists this ribosomal RNA (468 nucleotides) under uncultured bacterium. RNAcentral's name for it is "partial 16S ribosomal RNA". It matches the Rfam family "Bacterial small subunit ribosomal RNA", at positions 28 to 507 of the family's 1533-position model. The record is from RNAcentral.